AGAACAGUACCUGGUCCAUGGCCUGUUAGCAGCCAGGCCGCACAGCAGGAGGUGAGUGGCAGGCCAGCAAGCAUAACCGCCUGAGCUCUGCCUCCUGCCAGAUCCGCAGCAGCAUGAGACUCUCAUAGGAGCUCAAACCCUGUUAUGAACUGCACAUGUGAGGGAUCUAGGCUCCUUAUGAGAAUCUAAUGCCUGAUGAUCUGUCACUGUCUCCCAUCACCCUCAGAUGGGACUGUCUAGUUGCAGGAAAACAAGCUCAGAGCUCCCACUGAUUCUACAUUAUGUCUUCUGGGAGUAAAGAAUAAGUGAAAAACUGACAGCGAAUCAUCUUUGUGCAAGUCUCUUGGCAAACAUUCACUCCUUUAACAAAAGUCACAUUCAAUUCUUCUCCUCCA
RNAcentral lists this long non-coding RNA (395 nucleotides) under Homo sapiens (human). Its description in RNAcentral is "HSALNT0324285". The record is from RNAcentral. Lineage: Eukaryota; Metazoa; Chordata; Mammalia; Primates; Hominidae.